ACGGAGGGGGCGAGCGUUAUUCGGAAUCAUUGGGCGUAAAGGGCGCGUAGGCGGCUUGUUAAGUCAAAGGUGAAAACCCUCGGCUCAACUGAGGAACUGCCUUUGAAACUAGCGAGCUUGAGUUCGGGAGGGGGUAGCGGAAUUCCCAGUGUAGCGGUGAAAUGCGUAGAUACUGGGAGGAACACCAGUGGCGAAGGCGGCUACCUGGACCGGAGCUGACGCUGAGGCGCGAAAGCGUGGGUAGCAAACAGGA
This 253-nucleotide ribosomal RNA is filed under the name uncultured prokaryote. Its description in RNAcentral is "partial 16S ribosomal RNA". It matches the Rfam family "Bacterial small subunit ribosomal RNA", at positions 525 to 777 of the family's 1533-position model. The record is from RNAcentral.